Molecule: long non-coding RNA, 1439 nt
Organism: Oncorhynchus keta (chum salmon)
Lineage: Eukaryota; Metazoa; Chordata; Actinopteri; Salmoniformes; Salmonidae
Exons: 3
Source: RefSeq, a predicted model, not a curated record
UGGAGUAGGUUCUAGCUUCCUAAAACCCUCUAUAGUGACCAUGCACAUGGAGUAGGUUCUAGCUUCCUAAAACCCUCUAUAGUGACCAUGGAGUAGGUUCUAGCUUCCUAAAACCCUCUAUAGUGACCAUGGAGUAGGUUCUAGCUUCCUAAAACCCUCUAUAGUGACCAUGGAGUAGGUUCUAGCUUCCUAAACCCUCUAUAGUGACCAUGGAGUAGGUUCUAGCUUCUUAAACCCUCUAUAGUGACCAUGGAGUAGGUUCUAGCUUCCUAAAACCCUCUAUAGUGACCAUGGAGUAGGUUCUAGCUUCCUAAAACCCUUUAUAGUGACCAUGGAGUAGGUUCUAGCUUCUUAAACCCUCUAUAGUGACCAUGGAGUAGGUUCUAGCUUCCUAAAACUCUCUAUAGUGACCAUGGAGUGGGUUCUAGCUUCCUAAAACCCUCUAUAGUGACCAUGGAUUAGAUUCUAGCUUCCUAAAACCCUCUAUAGUGACCAUGGAGUAGGUGCUAGCUUCUUAAACCCUCUAUAGUGACCAUGGAGUAGGUUCUAGCUUCCUAAAACCCUCUAUAGUGACCAUAGAGUAGGUUCUAGCUUCCUAAACCCUCUAUAGUGACCAUGUAGUAGGUUCUAGCUUCCUAAACCCUCUAUAGUGACCAUGGAGUAGGUUCUAGCUUCCUAAAACCCUUUAUAGUGACCAUGGAGUAGGUUCUAGCUUCCUAAACCCUCUAUAGUGACCAUGGAGUAGGUUCUAGCUUCCUAAAACCCUCUAUAGUGACCAAGGACAUGGAGUAGGUUCUAGCUUCCUAAAACCCUCUAUAGUGACCAUGGAGUAGGUUCUAGCUUCCUAAAACUCUCUAUAGUGACCAUGGAGUAGGUUCUAGCUUCCCAAAACCCUCUAUAGUGACCAUGGAGUAGAUUCUAGCUUCCUAAAACCCUCUAUAGUGACCAUGGAGUAGGUUCUAGCUUCUUAAACCCUCUAUAGUGACCAUGGAGUAGGUUCUAGCUUCUUAAACCCUCUAUAGUGACCAUGGAGUAGGUUCUAGCUUCUUAAACCCUCUAUAGUGACCAUGGAGUAGGUUCUAGCUUCCUAAAACCCUCUAUAGUGACCAUGGAGUAGGUUCUAGCUUCCUAAAACCCUCUAUAGUGACCAUGGAGUAGGUUCUAGCUUCCUAAAACCCUCUAUAGUGACCAUGGAGUAGGUUCUAGCUUCUUAAACCCUCUAUAGUGACCAUGGAGUAGGUUCUAGCUUCCUAAAACCCUCUAUAGUGACCAUGGAGUAGGUUCUAGCUUCCUAAAACCCUCUAUAGUGACCAUGGAGUAGGUUCUAGCUUCCUAAAACCCUCUAUAGUGACCAUGGAGUAGGUUCUAGCUUCCUAAAACCCUCUAUAGUGACCAUGGAGUAGGUUCUAGCUUCCUAAACCCUCUAUAGUGACCAUGGA